UACGGAGGGUGCAAGCGUUAAUCGGAAUUACUGGGCGUGAAGCGCGCGUAGGCGGUUUGCUAAGUCUGUCGUGAAAGCCCUGGGCUUAACCUGGGAACUGCGGUGGAUACUGUCAAGCUAGAGUGUGGUAGAGGGCAGUGGAAUUUCCGGUGUAGCAGUGAAAUGCGUAGAGAUCGGAAGGAACACCAGUGGCGAAGGCGGCUGCCUGGACCAACACUGACGCUGAGGUGCGAAAGCGUGGGGAGCAAACAGG
This 253-nucleotide ribosomal RNA is filed under the name uncultured bacterium. RNAcentral describes it as "partial 16S ribosomal RNA". It matches the Rfam family "Bacterial small subunit ribosomal RNA", at positions 524 to 776 of the family's 1533-position model. The record is from RNAcentral.